Molecule: ribosomal RNA, 465 nt
Filed under: uncultured bacterium
Lineage: Bacteria
Description: partial 16S ribosomal RNA
Rfam family: Bacterial small subunit ribosomal RNA
Source: RNAcentral
GACGAACGCUGGCGGCGUGCUUAACACAUGCAAGUCGAACGGAAAGGCCCUGCUUGCAGGGUACUCGAGUGGCGAACGGGUGAGUAACACGUGGGUGAUCUGCCCUGCACUUCGGGAUAAGCCUGGGAAACUGGGUCUAAUGCCGGAUAGGAGCCAUUUUUAGUGUGAUGGUUGGAAAGUUUUUUCGGUGUAGGAUGAGCUCGCGGCCUAUCAGCUUGUUGGUGGGGUAAUGGCCUACCAAGGCGGCGACGGGUAGCCGGCCUGAGAGGGUGGACGGCCACAUUGGGACUGAGAUACGGCCCAGACUCCUACGGGAGGCAGCAGUGGGGAAUAUUGCACAAUGGGCGCAAGCCUGAUGCAGCGACGCCGCGUGGGGGAUGACGGCCUUCGGGUUGUAAACUCCUUUCGCUAGGGACGAAGCUUUUUGUGACGGUACCUAGAGAAGAAGCACCGGCUAACUACGUG